UACGAAGGGGGCUAGCGUUGCUCGGAAUCACUGGGCGUAAAGCGCUCGUAGGCGGAUUGCUAAGUCAGGGGUGAAAUCCUGGAGCUCAACUCCAGAACUGCCUUUGAUACUGGCGAUCUUGAGUCCGGGAGAGGUGAGUGGAACUCCGAGUGUAGAGGUGAAAUUCGUAGAUAUUCGGAAGAACACCAGUGGCGAAGGCGGCUCACUGGCCCGGUACUGACGCUGAGGUGCGAAAGCGUGGGGAGCAAACAGG
Molecule: ribosomal RNA, 253 nt
Filed under: uncultured bacterium
Lineage: Bacteria
Description: partial 16S ribosomal RNA
Rfam family: Bacterial small subunit ribosomal RNA
Source: RNAcentral